GAUGAACGCUAGCUACAGGCUUAACACAUGCAAGUCGAGGGGUAACAAGAGAAAAGCUUGCUUUUCUUGUUGACGACCGGCGCACGGGUGAGUAACGCGUAUCCAACCUGCCCAUAACUAGGGAAUAACCUUGCGAAAGUAAGACUAAUACCCUAUCAUUUCCUUUGCCGGCAUCUGCCGAGGAAUAAAGAUUUAUCGGUUAUGGAUGGGGAUGCGUCUGAUUAGCUUGUUGGCGGGGGAACGCCCCACCAAGGCAACGAUACGGAGGGGUUCUGAGAGGAAGGUCCCCCACAUUGGAACUGAGACAAGGUGCAAACUCCUACGGGAGGCAGCAGUGAGGAAUAUUGGUCAAUGGGCGGAAGCCUGAACCAGCCAAGUAGCGUGCAGGAUGACGGCCCUAUGGGUUGUAGACUGCUUUUAUACAGGAAUAAAGUUAGCCACGUGUGGUUAUUUGUAGGUACUGUAUGAAUAAGGACCGGCUAAUUCCGUGCCAGCAGCCGCGGUAA
This 506-nucleotide ribosomal RNA is filed under the name uncultured bacterium. RNAcentral's name for it is "partial 16S ribosomal RNA". It matches the Rfam family "Bacterial small subunit ribosomal RNA", at positions 28 to 523 of the family's 1533-position model. The record is from RNAcentral.